This 253-nucleotide ribosomal RNA is filed under the name uncultured bacterium. Its description in RNAcentral is "partial 16S ribosomal RNA". It matches the Rfam family "Bacterial small subunit ribosomal RNA", at positions 524 to 776 of the family's 1533-position model. The record is from RNAcentral.
UACGAAGGGGGCUAGCGUUGUUCGGAAUUACUGGGCGUAAAGCGCACGUAGGCGGGUUGUUAAGUCAGGGGUGAAAUCCUGGAGCUCAACUCCAGAACUGCCUUUGAUACUGGCAAUCUCGAGUCCGGAAGAGGUUGGUGGAACAGCUAGUGUAGAGGUGAAAUUCGUAGAUAUUAGCUAGAACACCAGUGGCGAAGGCGGCCAACUGGUCCGGUACUGACGCUGAGGUGCGAAAGCGUGGGGAGCAAACAGG